RNAcentral lists this ribosomal RNA (1139 nucleotides) under Aster yellows phytoplasma. RNAcentral describes it as "bacterial SSU rRNA". It matches the Rfam family "Bacterial small subunit ribosomal RNA", at positions 207 to 1355 of the family's 1533-position model. The record is from RNAcentral. Lineage: Bacteria; Bacillati; Mycoplasmatota; Mollicutes; Acholeplasmatales; Acholeplasmataceae.
CAAUAGGUAUGCUUAGGGAGGAGCUUGGGUCCCAUUAGUUAGUUGGUGGGGUAAAAGCCUACCAAGACUAUGAUUGGUAGCCCGGCUGAGAGGGUGAACGGCCACAUUGGGACUGAGCCACGGCCCAAAUUCCUACGGGAGGCAGCAGUAGGGAAUUUUCGGCAAUGGAGGAAACUUUGACCGAGCAACGCCGCGUGAACGAUGAAGUAUUUCGGUAUGUAAAGUUCUUUUAUUAGGGAAGAAUAAAUGAUGGAAAAAUCAUUCUGACUGUACCUAAUGAAUAAGCCCCGGCUAACUAUGUGCCAGCAGCCGCGGUAAUACAUAGGGGGCAAGCGUUAUCCGGAAUUAUUGGGCGUAAAGGGUGCGUAGGCGGUUAAAUAAGUUUAUGGUCUAAGUGCAAUGCUCAACAUUGUGAUGCUAUAAAAACUGUUUAGCUAGAGUAAGAUAGAGGCAAGUGGAAUUCCAUGUGUAGUGGUAAAAUGCGUAAAUAUAUGGAGGAACACCAGUAGCGAAGCGGCUUGCUGGGUCUUUACUGACGCUGAGGCACGAAAGCGUGGGGAGCAAACAGGAUUAGAUACCCUGGUAGUCCACGCCGUAAACGAUGAGUACUAAACGUUGGGUAAAACCAGUGUUGAAGUUAACACAUUAAGUACUCCACCUGAGUAGUACGUACGCAAGUAUGAAACUUAAAGGAAUUGACGGGACUCCGCACAAGCGGUGGAUCAUGUUGUUUAAUUCGAAGGUACCCGAAAAACCUCACCAGGUCUUGACAUGCUUCUGCAAAGUUGUAGAAAUACAGUGGAGGUUAUCAGUUGCAUAGGUGGUGCAUGGUUGUCGUCAGCUCGUGUCGUGAGAUGUUGGGUUAAGUCCCGCAACGAGCGCAACCCUUAUUGUUAGUUACCAGCACGUAAUGGUGGGGACUUUAGCAAGACUGCCAGUGAUAAAUUGGAGGAAGGUGGGGACGACGUCAAAUCAUCAUGCCCCUUAUGACCUGGGCUACAAACGUGAUACAAUGGCUGUUACAAAGGGUAGCUGAAACGCAAGUUUUUGGCGAAUCUCAAAAAAACAGUCUCAGUUCGGAUUGAAGUCUGCAACUCGACUUCACGAAGUUGGAAUCGCUAGUAAUCGCGAAUCAGCAU